This 79-nucleotide transfer RNA is filed under the name Clostridium botulinum D str. 1873. RNAcentral's name for it is "tRNA-Arg". It matches the Rfam family "tRNA". Rfam says of the family: Transfer RNA (tRNA) molecules are approximately 80 nucleotides in length. Their secondary structure includes four short double-helical elements and three loops (D, anti-codon, and T loops). Further hydrogen bonds mediate the characteristic L-shaped molecular structure. tRNAs have two regions of fundamental functional importance: the anti-codon, which is responsible for specific mRNA codon recognition, and the 3' end, to which the tRNAs corresponding amino acid is attached (by aminoacyl-tRNA synthetases). tRNAs cope with the degeneracy of the genetic code in two manners: having more than one tRNA (with a specific anti-codon) for a particular amino acid; and 'wobble' base-pairing, i.e. permitting non-standard base-pairing at the 3rd anti-codon position. Lineage: Bacteria; Bacillati; Bacillota; Clostridia; Eubacteriales; Clostridiaceae. The record is from RNAcentral.
UGCGCGAGUAGCUCAGUUGGAUAGAGUAGCUGGCUACGAACCAGUUGGUCGGGGGUUCGAAUCCCUUCUUGCGCACCAA